Molecule: long non-coding RNA, 866 nt
Organism: Alosa sapidissima (American shad)
Lineage: Eukaryota; Metazoa; Chordata; Actinopteri; Clupeiformes; Clupeidae
Exons: 4
Source: RefSeq, a predicted model, not a curated record
GUCCUGGUCAUGUAAAGCUCAUCAAAAUCUGUCAUUCUGUAUUUUGUACUGAGGGGUUGUUUAUGAUCAUGUAAUCAUUUUGAACACAUAUACUUCCAUUAACCUAACGUUACUGUGACUUUUUUUAAAUGUACACCUCAGAAUCCAGGCCACACUGACCAGAGACCUGCACUCCUUUGGAUGAAGAAGGCUACCCGUGUUUACAUGUCUGAACCAUUUCUUGUGUUGGAAAAACAGGAGACCUGAAGAGCUCUUGAUGCUUUUGGUUUGCCUCAUCCAUUAUGUCAGCAAAGAACAGGAGUGGGCAGGAAACAUGCGCUGUUGAAAACAUGGCCAACCAACUGGAGCACCCACAAGGCUCUUGUGAAGGAAGUCCACAAGCCUUUGUGCUUCAGGAUGGAUGGAAAGAACUCUUUGAUCAACCCCCAAAGAGAGCUGAGGUGGCUAUCUUUUGGAGACACCCCUGGCUGGUAGUGCUGCUGAAACUGGUGGAGGCAACAAUGAAGCGGCAACAGGUGGCAAAGGUUGCUGCUAUUGAAAAAUACUUUGAGAGUGAGUGUGUGUGCAUGUAUGUAGCUGGGUAGGUCAUGGUACAUGGUACAAAAAUACAGAAUUUAAAGCACUAGCACAACACUUAACUCACAACCCACAACUACUGACAAUGGAAUUACUCUUUUAGAGUGAGGGAGAGAGAUAGAAUAUUUCUGUAAAUGUUUAAUGUUAAUUUAGAAUAAUUUAUUUCUUUGAAUCAUUAUACAGUUUUAAAAUGUUUAAUUGUUUGUGUUUUUGUAUAUGAAAGAUGUCGAUUGUUGUAGAUAAAAGUAGCUUGUAUAUUUUAACUUGUUUAAUUUCUAAAGUGUAUACUG